Comamonas testosteroni KF-1 is the source of this 152-nucleotide non-coding RNA. NCBI's taxonomy places the organism in Bacteria, Pseudomonadati, Pseudomonadota, Betaproteobacteria, Burkholderiales, Comamonadaceae. The record is from Rfam.
CCUUGUGUGCGACCACAAGUAGCCUACGGUGACAUGCAAAUCCAGUAAUGGACUUGUGUGAAGCUCGCCCGACAACGUACUCCCGCUAACGCGGUACCCCUCAUCCGCAAGGAUAGGGGUAGAUGCUGCCAGCAGAAAUGGCGGUUGAGAGG